CUACGGGGCGCUGCAGUGGGGAAUCUUAGACAAUGGGCGCAAGCCUGAUCUAGCCAUGCCGCGUGAGUGACGAAGGCCUUAGGGUCGUAAAGCUCUUUCGCUAGGGAAGAUAAUGACUGUACCUAGUAAAGAAACCCCGGCUAACUCCGUGCCAGCAGCCGCGGUAAUACGGAGGGGGUUAGCGUUGUUCGGGAUUACUGGGCGUAAAGCGCGCGUAGGCGGAUCAGAAAGUUGGGGGUGAAAUCCCAGGGCUCAACCCUGGAACUGCCUCCAAAACUCCUGGUCUUGAGUUCGAGAGAGGUGAGUGGAAUUCCGAGUGUAGAGGUGAAAUUCGUAGAUAUUCGGAGGAACACCAGUGGCGAAGGCGGCUCACUGGCUCGAUACUGACGCUGAGGUGCGAAAGCGUGGGGAGCAAACAGGAUUAGAUACCCUCGUAGUC
This 439-nucleotide ribosomal RNA is filed under the name uncultured bacterium. RNAcentral describes it as "partial 16S ribosomal RNA". It matches the Rfam family "Bacterial small subunit ribosomal RNA", at positions 339 to 795 of the family's 1533-position model. The record is from RNAcentral.